RNAcentral lists this small RNA (768 nucleotides) under Pongo abelii (Sumatran orangutan). RNAcentral's name for it is "processed transcript". The record is from RNAcentral. Lineage: Eukaryota; Metazoa; Chordata; Mammalia; Primates; Hominidae.
CAGAAAUGUCUGGAAAAAUGCUAGUGUUCCUUAAUACUUAAGAUAUUACUCACGCGCAGAUGCGGAAAACGCCAUGCGGUACAUAAAUGGAACGCGUCUGGAUGACCGAAUCAUCCGCACAGACUGGGACGCAGGCUUUAAGGAGGGCAGGCAGUACGGCCGUGGGCGAUCUGGGGGCCAGGUAUGCGAGAAGGGUCUCUGGGCUCAGCCACUGCCUGGGAUUCCAGUCACAAUGACAGGUGUUUUGGCAAUCUGUAUUUACUCUUUUGUAAAUAACUUUGUGUCUAUAACCUUGGCUUGAAGUGGAUCUGAAAACCACCCAACGGUUUGGGUGAAUUGUUUUUUUAAACCCUGAAAUGGUAUGUUCUGUACGUUUCUAACAAGCAACCAUUCUUGAACUUCUGCUAGGGCUAGAUAUCUUCCACCUGCAGGAACAUCUAGAAUGAAAGCAAAACGCACUGAAGUGAGUUGAAGUGCUUAUGUCCUGCUUGAAAUGUUCACAUUGUGGCAUCUGAACAGGUUUCACUGUUUGUCUAACAUGUUUGUGGGAGGCAUAUUUGUUACACCAUUCUUUUUCAUACUGUAACUCUGGAUUCUUUCCAUUAAAGGUUCGGGAUGAGUAUCGGCAGGACUACGAUGCUGGGAGAGGAGGCUAUGGAAAACUGGCACAGAACCAUAAAACAUAACUCAGAUUUCUACAGGAGACAGUGGUUUUAUUUGGAUUGUCUUCUGUAAUAGGUUUCAAUAAAGCUGGAUGAACUUAUCGUU